Drosophila albomicans is the source of this 369-nucleotide long non-coding RNA. RefSeq lists it as uncharacterized. The record is from RefSeq and is a predicted model, not a curated record. Lineage: Eukaryota; Metazoa; Arthropoda; Insecta; Diptera; Drosophilidae. The transcript is spliced from 2 exons.
AAAAAAAACUUUACAGAAAAGUCGGAUGUUUUUAGCUUCGGUAUAAUUUUUUGGGAAGUGAUCCAACGAGAGAAGCCAUUUUGCGACAGGGAUUUGCAUGACAUCAGUGAAUAUAUAAAAAGAGGUAUUCGACCUGAUAUUUAUAAUUUGAUCAAUGACGAUUAUAGUGGUAUAGUACCGAUAAUGGAAUGUUGUUGGCGCCAAUCCUCAACAGAUCGUCCAACGAUGAGUGAAGUGCGUCGCGAUUUAAAUUAUUCAAUUAAGCGCUAUGACCAUCAAUCAAAUUGCUGCAUAAGUUAGAACGAAACUAUUAUUAAGCAAUAACAAAUUAUAUUAUAUCAGAAUAAUACAGAUUAUGUUGACCCUUUA